UGGGCCGCUUGUGGAUGACGUCAUUCACAUGCAGCUGCGAUCGUAUCUUUCGCGCCGAAAGAUAACGGCUGGGACUAAGUAAAAAGUAGUAAAAAUGGAGACAUAGCGAAACGCUGAUGUCUCCAUUUUUACUGCUUUUUACUACUUGAAUGGACUGAGGGUGAUGAUAGUGGGGCGCAUAGUAUUUUGGCGAUUGACUGUGUCCGGAACUUUUCAGUUCAAGAUUUUUUUGCCUCGACUGAACAAAACGAGAAGCUGGUGGAAUGGCGAAACGGCCGCCAACCCUGGCCGGUUCACCCAGCCAAAAUUAUUGACGUGGCAAGUAAGUUAUGUUACAUUCUAUUAUGUAUAUAUUACAUUAAAUUUUGCUCGCACGUAAAGAAGUGUAAAAUGGAUCUUGUUACCUGACUAGCUUAGCAUGCUGGCUGUUAGCUACAUUAGCAAACAUUAGCUAUUUGCUAAUGUUAAUGUUAAGUCUCUUAAUUCGGCAGGGGAAGACUGAGAAGGCUUAAAAAAAGGUAACUGACUGCACCAAUUGGUGCUUUAGUUUAAGUUAUCUCCCCUCUCUUGUUUCUUAAUGUGUAUGUUUGUAGGUUUGUAAUUGUGUCAUCUAUGAUGAUUUAAUGUGCUUUGCCAAGAUAUAUGUGCAAGGUGGUGUAACGCAAGUUAAUAAGAGUUGGGCUAAAAGUCAGUGUCUUGUGGGUUGACAGUAAAAAGGGAGGGUCUUCCAAAAACAAGCACCAGGAGGGUGAGAAGCAGGAGGAGGGUCAUGACAGACUUUCAAAGAACAAGGUUGUCGUGAAAAAGAAAAAUGUUUCUAAAUACGAGACAGGAGGAGGAGGAGAUAGUGGAUGAUGAGGCGCGUCAUGACACAAAGAACAAGGUGGGAAGCCAACCAGAGGGGACGGGGAGCAGCUGGUUGCCCUGGACAAAAUAAAAAAGGCAGCCAUUAUUGGCAUCAAUGGAGACUGGAUAAGAUGCUACAUUGAAGAAAUGGCCGGCAGCCAGCCGAGGGCAGAUAGGCACAGCUAUAAAUUCCAAGCUCGCAGAGAUGC
This is a long non-coding RNA of Pungitius pungitius (ninespine stickleback), 1055 nucleotides long. RefSeq lists it as uncharacterized. The record is from RefSeq and is a predicted model, not a curated record. Lineage: Eukaryota; Metazoa; Chordata; Actinopteri; Perciformes; Gasterosteidae. The transcript is spliced from 5 exons.